UUGAACGCUGGCGGCAUGCUUUACACAUGCAAGUCGAACGGUAACAGGCCUUCGGGUGCUGACGAGUGGCGAACGGGUGAGUAAUGCAUCGGAACGUGCCCAAUCGUGGGGGAUAACGUAGCGAAAGUUACGCUAAUACCGCAUACGAUCUACGGAUGAAAGCAGGGGACCCUCGGGCCUUGCGCGAACGGAGCGGCCGAUGGCAGAUUAGGUAGUUGGUGGGAUAAAAGCUUACCAAGCCGACGAUCUGUAGCUGGUCUGAGAGGACGACCAGCCACACUGGGACUGAGACACGGCCCAGACUCCUACGGGAGGCAGCAGUGGGGAAUUUUGGACAAUGGGCGAAAGCCUGAUCCAGCAAUGCCGCGUGCAGGAUGAAGGCCUUCGGGUUGUAAACUGCUUUUGUACGGAACGAAAAGUCUCGGGAUAAUACCCUGUGACCAUGACGGUACCGUAAGAAUAAGCACCGGCUAACUACGU
This 480-nucleotide ribosomal RNA is filed under the name uncultured bacterium. RNAcentral describes it as "bacterial SSU rRNA". It matches the Rfam family "Bacterial small subunit ribosomal RNA", at positions 30 to 506 of the family's 1533-position model. The record is from RNAcentral.